This 392-nucleotide ribosomal RNA is filed under the name uncultured bacterium. Its description in RNAcentral is "partial 16S ribosomal RNA". It matches the Rfam family "Bacterial small subunit ribosomal RNA", at positions 523 to 918 of the family's 1533-position model. The record is from RNAcentral.
AUACGGAGGAUCCGAGCGUUAUCCGGAUUUAUUGGGUUUAAAGGGUGCGCAGGCGGCCAUUUAAGUCAGCGGUUAAAUCGUGGGGCUCAACCCCAUUCUGCCGUUGAUACCGGGUGGCUUGAUUGCGGUCGAGGUUGGCGGAAUUCGUUGUGUAGCGGUGAAAUGCAUAGAUAUGACGAAGAACACCGAUUGCGUAGGCAGCUGACCAGACCGCAAAUGACGCUCAUGCACGAAAGUGCGGGGAUCGAACAGGAUUAGAUACCCUGGUAGUCCGCACAGUAAACGAUGAAUACUUGUUUUCGGCGAUAUAAUGUCGGAGGCAAAGCGAAAGCGAUAAGUAUUCCACCUGGGGAGUACGCCGGCAACGGUGAAACUCAAAGGAAUUGACGGGG